Long non-coding RNA from Passer domesticus (house sparrow), 1551 nucleotides. RefSeq lists it as uncharacterized. The record is from RefSeq and is a predicted model, not a curated record. The transcript has 2 exons. NCBI's taxonomy places the organism in Eukaryota, Metazoa, Chordata, Aves, Passeriformes, Passeridae.
CAUCAGCUGUUUUUCACUUGCAUUAAGGGUGAGCUGCUGUGAGCAGGGCUUACCUAACCUGCCCUCAGACACACUUCACGCCAGCCAUACUCAGCUCCUCCCACUCAAAUCCUCCCUAAGGAUUUGUUUUAACGACACAAACUAACAAUUAGGUCAUAAACUGCAAUUUAUGUCUCCUUCCUCAGGUAUUUUUGCCUCCUGGGGAUCCUUCUUGAAAGCCCCUCAGCAUCCUCUCCUAACUGUCCCUUAAAACCAAGGAAAAGAUGGACUUCAACUGUAACUCAGAAAAUUUCUUUAACUGUAACUCUAAAAUUUCUUUUUAAUUUCUUUUUUCUAUUUUUCUUUAAUUUCUUAAGUUAAUUUCCAUCGAACAAUUGGAUUUUCAACAAAGCUAAAUUUUUCAGAGUUAGUGCUUGUCACCCCAAAGUCAAUUCUCUGUAGAAGAAAAUGGUGCAAUUUUGUUUUCUGUCAAUGAACCAGGUGCCAGUCAAACUUUUACUUUUCCAUUAAAAAGCUGGAAAGGGUUGCAGAUGGUACAGGAAUAGAUGGGACCUAGGAAUACAAACUUGCAGUAUUACAUAUAAAAGCUCUUCAUUCUACCUUGUCUAGUUUAACAAUAUAGUCUCAUCAGAUAAUUGACUAGCAGAAAAUAAUAAAUAACUUUAUAUUUUAGCUGUCAGCAGGGCACCUAAUGGUGUCCAUAUCAAGCAGAGAAUGUUUAACUCUUGACUCAGGUCUGAUACCAGAUCACUUUGUCUAGCAUGAAAGAGGGAAGGGAAAACAGCAUUUCUUACUUUUUGGCCUGUCAUUUUAUCAAUUCACAUCAAAACAACACUGUAGAUUAAAAUAAAGGCAUACCUUUUAAAAUUCAAUACUUUUUAAAUCCAACCUAUAGUGUAGGAAAAGGAAAUAAAGUAACCGAAAAGAAGUCCUGCUUCAAGGCACUGUCAAAGAAGAGACAUGACAAUUCUUCUGUGACAAAUCCAAAAGGUCUUGAAGUCACAAGCAAAAAUCUUGUUCAAUUCACAGUUGCAGGGCUUCACACAAAGCACCCCAGGGAGAAACCCAUGAAGUGUGCUCACACCACUGCCAAUAGGAGGACUACCAGCAUCCCAAGGAAUGGUGUCUUCAAGGUACAGCUCAAGGGAUUUCUUACUUCUUGGUGCAAGGCACGGAGACAACGGGAGCUGUACUCAGCAGCUUUGAGCCUGCUGCCUUAAACACAGGGAGUGGAACAACCUGAAGCAAAGACACGCCUUUUUUGUAAUGUGUUAGUCUGUGUCAUAACUAAAACGGAACUAUGUUCUUCUUUCCACUGUGGAGGUAACUGGAGAGCCCUGUACUUUCCAGUGCUGCCUGCAUGGGUCUCAAAACCAAGAAAGAAACUAACAUGUUGUUACUAGCUUUAUAUAGAUAAAAUCCUUCCCUUAGUUCAGGUAGCUGCAUAAUUUUCAGAGGAAUAUCCUCUUCCUCUGUAUCUCCUGCAGGCCAGAUUCAGACUGUUCUCAGAACUUACUUCGCCUUAGCCAAAAUUAAAUUAUAGUACUAAGC